This 467-nucleotide ribosomal RNA is filed under the name uncultured microorganism. RNAcentral's name for it is "bacterial SSU rRNA". It matches the Rfam family "Bacterial small subunit ribosomal RNA", at positions 9 to 524 of the family's 1533-position model. The record is from RNAcentral.
GAGUUUGAUCUUGGCUCAGAGCGAACGCUGGCGGCAGGCCUAACACAUGCAAGUCGAACGGACCCUUCGGGGUUAGUGGCGGACGGGUGAGUAACACGUGGGAACGUGCCUUUAGGUUCGGAAUAGCUCCUGGAAACGGGUGGUAAUGCCGAAUGUGCCCUUGGGGGAAAGAUUAUCGCCUUUAGAGCGGCCCGCGUCUGAUUAGCUAGUUGGUGAGGUAACGGCUCACCAAGGCGACGAUCAGUAGCUGGUCUGAGAGGAUGACCAGCCACACUGGGACUGAGACACGGCCCACGACUCCUACGGGAGGCAGCAGUGGGGAAUCUUGCGCAAUGGCGAAAGCCUGACGCAGCCAUGCCGCGUGAAUGAUGAAGGUCUUAGGAUUGUAAAAUUCUUUCACCGGGGACGAUAAUGACGGUACCCGGAGAAGAAGCCCCGGCUAACUUCGUGCCAGCCGCCGCAGUAAU